This 253-nucleotide ribosomal RNA is filed under the name uncultured bacterium. RNAcentral describes it as "partial 16S ribosomal RNA". It matches the Rfam family "Bacterial small subunit ribosomal RNA", at positions 524 to 776 of the family's 1533-position model. The record is from RNAcentral.
UACAGAGGUCUCAAGCGUUGUUCGGAAUCACUGGGCGUAAAGGGCGCGUAGGCGGCGGGGAAAGUCAGAUGUGAAAUCCGGAGGCUCAACCUCCGAAUUGCAUCCGAUACUCCCUCGCUAGAGAUUUGUAGAGGAGCUUGGAAUUCUCGGUGUAGCAGUGAAAUGCGUAGAUAUCGAGAAGAACGCUCGCAGCGAAGGCGAAGCUCUGGGCAAAUUCUGACGCUGAUGCACGAAGGCUAGGGGAGCAAACGGG